Molecule: ribosomal RNA, 416 nt
Filed under: uncultured bacterium
Lineage: Bacteria
Description: bacterial SSU rRNA
Rfam family: Bacterial small subunit ribosomal RNA
Source: RNAcentral
GAAUAUUGCACAAUGAGCGAAAGCUUGAUGCAGCGACGCCGCGUGAGGGAUGACGGCCUUCGGGUUGUAAACCUCUUUCAGCUCUGACGAAGCUGCCUGGUUUUCUGGGUGGUGACGGUAGGGGUAGAAGAAGCGCCGGCCAACUACGUGCCAGCAGCCGCGGUAAGACGUAGGGCGCAAGCGUUGUCCGGAUUUAGUGGGCGUAAAGAGCUCGGAGGCGGCCUGUCGCGUCAACCGUGAAAUCCCGCGGCUUAACUGUGGGCGUGCGGUUGAUACGGGUGGGCUGGAGUUCGGUAGGGGAGACUGGAAUUCCUGGUGUAGCGGUGAAAUGCGCAGAUAUCAGGAGGAACACCGGUGGCGAAGGCGGGUCUCUGGGCCGAUACUGACGCUGAGGAGCGAAAGCGUGGGGAGCGAAC